Molecule: transfer RNA, 76 nt
Filed under: Pseudomonas sp. FeN3W
Lineage: Bacteria; Pseudomonadati; Pseudomonadota; Gammaproteobacteria; Pseudomonadales; Pseudomonadaceae
Description: tRNA-Arg
Rfam family: tRNA
About the family: Transfer RNA (tRNA) molecules are approximately 80 nucleotides in length. Their secondary structure includes four short double-helical elements and three loops (D, anti-codon, and T loops).
Source: RNAcentral
ACCCCAGUAGCCAAGUGGAUAAGGCGCCACGCUUCGAACGUGGAGAUCGGAGGUUCGAGUCCUUCCUGGGGUGCCA